RNAcentral lists this long non-coding RNA (206 nucleotides) under Elaeis guineensis (African oil palm). RNAcentral's name for it is "long non-coding RNA (EGUI_LNC018321)". Lineage: Eukaryota; Viridiplantae; Streptophyta; Magnoliopsida; Arecales; Arecaceae. The record is from RNAcentral.
GGGGGCCAGAUCAUGAAGUCCAAGUCCAAGUCCGACCAGAAUCUAGUAGAGUGCUUCUACUGUAGGAAGCAGGAUCAUUGAAAGAGGAACUGUCCUCAAUACAUUAUUUUUCUUGAUCUGAACAGGCUAAAGAAAAAAAAGCAAUCGGUUGCUAAGCAAGAUAAUUAUAUGAUAACUCCUUGCAACUUCUCAAUUUGUGAUACAAU